Molecule: long non-coding RNA, 3098 nt
Filed under: Salmo salar (Atlantic salmon)
Lineage: Eukaryota; Metazoa; Chordata; Actinopteri; Salmoniformes; Salmonidae
Description: lncRNA (ENSSSAG00000093592.1)
Source: RNAcentral
GCUGGUCAUUUAUGAACAUUUUAACAUCUUGACCAUGUUCUGUUAUAAUAUCCACCCUGCACAGCCAGAAGAGGACUGGCCACCCCUCAUAGCCUGGUUCCUCUCUAGGUUUCUUCCUAGGUUUUUGGCCUUUCUAGGGAGUUUUUCCUAGGGAGUUUUUCCUAGCCACCGUGCUUCUUUCACAUGCAUUGCUUGCUGUUUGGGGUUUUAGGCUGGGUUUCUGUACAGCACUUUGAGAUAUCAGCUGAUGUACGAAGGGCUAUAUAAAUACAUUUGAUUUGAUUUGAUUUGAAGUGUAAAGGAAUGAAUAAGAAUAUUUACAUCAAAAUAUAUGAAUGAGCGAUGGCCGAACGGCAUAGGCAAGAUGCAGUAGAUGGUAUAGAGUACAGUAUAUACAUAUGAGAUGAGUAAUGUAGGGUAUGUAAACAUUAUAUAAAGUGGCAUUGUUUAAAGUGGCUAGUGAUACAUUUAUUACAUCAAUUUAUCAUUAUUAAAGUGGCUAGAGAUGAGUCAGUAUGAUGGCAGCAGCCACUCAAUGUUAGUGAUGGCUGUUAGUGAUGGCUGUCUGAUGGCCUUGAGAUAGAAGCUGUUUUUCAGUCUCAUUCAAGCUGUUUUUCAGUGCCCCAUUCAAAAAAUGUAGAACCAGGAACAGAUAUAGCCCUUGGUUCACUCCAGACCUGACUGCCCUUGACCAGCACAAAAACUAGCCUGCAUUAGCAUUGAAUAGCCCCCGCGAUAUGCAACUUUUCAGGGAAGUUAGGAACCAAUGUACACAGGCAGUUAGGAAGGCAAAAGCUAUCUUUUUCAAACAGAAAUUUGCAUCCGUAGCACAAACUCCAAAAAGUUCUGGGACACUGUAAAGUCCAUGGAGAAUAAGAGCACCUCCUCCCAGCUGCCCGCUGCACUGAGGCUAGGAAACACUGUCACCACCGAUAAAUCUAUGAUUAUCGAGAAUUUCAAUAAGCAUUUUUCUACAGCUGGCCUUGCUUUCCACCUGGCUACCCCUACCUCGGUCAACAGCUCUGCACCCCCCACAGAAACUUGCCCAAGCCUCCCCCAUUUCUCCUUCACCCAAAUCCAGAUAGCUGAUGUUCUGAAAGAGCUGCAAAAUCUGGACCCCUACGAAUCUAAAAUUAUCUGCCGCACUUGUUGCUAUUACUAGCCUGUUCAACCUUUCUUUCGUAUCGUCUGAGAUCCCCAAAGAUUGGAAAGCUGCCGCGGUCAUCCCCCUCUUCAAAUGGGGAGACAUCUAGACCCAAACUGUUACAGACCUAUAUCUAUCCUACCAUGCCUUUCUAAGGUCUUCGAAAGCCAGCCAAGUUAACAAACAGAUCACGAAUCCCACCGUACCUUCUCCGCUAUGCAAUCUGGUUUCAGAGCUGGUCAUGGGUGCACCUCAGCCACGCUCAAGGUCCUAAACGAUAUCAUAAUCGCCAUCGACAAAAGACAAUACUGUGCAGCCAUAUCCAUCGACCUGGCCAAGGCUUUCGACUCUGUCAAUCACCCAUUCUUAUCGUCAGAUUCAACAGCCUUUGUUUCUCAAAUGACUGCCUCGCCUGGUUCACCAACUACUUCUCAGAUAGAGUUCAGUGUGUCAAAUGGGAGGGCCUGUUGUCCGGACCUCUGGCAGUCUCUAUGGGGGUGCCACAGGGUUCAAUUCUCGGGCCGACUCUUUUCUCUGUAUACGUCAAUGAUGUUGGUCUUGCGGCUGGUGAUUCUCUGAUUCACCUCUAUGUAGACGACACCAUUCUGGCCCUUCUUUGGACACUGUGUUAACUAACCUCCAGACAAGCUUCAAUGCCAUACAACUUUCCUUCCGUGGCCUCCAACUGCUCUUAAAUGCAAGUAAAACUAAAUGCAUGCUCUUCAAUCGAUUGCUGCCCGCAUCUGCCCACCCGCCUAGAAUCACUACUUUGGACGGUUCUAACUUAGAAUAUGUGGACAACUACAAAUACCUCGGUGUCUGGUUAGACUGUAAACUCUCCUUCCAGACUCAUAUUAAGCAUCUCCAAUCCCAAAAUACAUCUAGAAUCGGCUUCCUAUUUCACAACAAAGCAUCCUUCACUCAUGCUGCCAAACAUACCCUCGUAAAACUGACUAUCCUACUGAUCCUUGACUUCAGCGAUGUUAUUUACAAAAUAGCCUCCAACACUCUACUCAGCAAAUUGGAUACAGUCUAUCACAGUGCCAUCCGUUUCGUCACCAAAGCCCCAUAUACUACUGAUAAGAGAAUACUUCAAAAUGAGAAGAUCCUGCCAUGGAAAAGACGAGUGGGUGGACAUAAAGUGGAAAGGAGGGGAAAUAACUCACACCAUGCAGCAGGACACCUUCAGCUGUGGGGUCUUUGUAAUGCAGAUGGCCAAGGAAGUCACACAGAACUUCCCCAACAUCCCCUCCCAAAUUCAUAUGGAACCUUCAAAACCAUAUGGAGCAACUGCGAAAAGAAAUGGCUGAGGAUAUACUAAAAAUGUCUGAGUUCAACAAAGCCAACAACUGAUUCAUGUGUGCCACUGAUAAAGAACCUGUCUGUGGCCCAAAGGCUGACUGGGUUAGUAACUUUAUUUAACAUGUUUAUAAUCUUUUGACAACAGUGACGGCAUGUAAGACAAUUUAUGAUAUAACACAAUGGAUGGCUAAUUCGUCAUUCGUCAUACAUUGAUGAUAUUAUUUAUAACGUGUUACGCUUUGUUUUGAUUGAAUGUUUUGCAUGUCAACGCUGGUUCCAUGUGGAAUGAAGACAAAAGAGUUCAACAGAGUAAAGAACACAACCUGGAAGUGCAGUCUUUGUUGUUGAAAAUGUAUGUUAUACCCCAUCCACACUGAAGAGGCUCUGAAAUGUACAUCAACCAGGGAUAAAGAGAAAGUUAACACUGAAAUGUUUCAUACUUAAUUGAAGUUAAGUGUCUGUUGACAUGUUGGAAAAGAUUAAAGGUCUACAAUUUCUAUUUCAUUUGUCAAUAUUACAUUUUUAUUCAUUGAUUUACUGGCCACUAUUACUGUGGUUACAUGUUCAGUAUAUGUAUUGACCAGCAAACCCACUGCAGCCUACCUCACUAGUUCACUCUCCAUCCCUGCUGUGGACAAUAACAUGACUCUCG